GCGCCCGUAGCUCAACUGGAUAGAGCGACAGCCUCCGGAGCUGUAGGUUGCAGGUUCAAUUCCUGUCGGGCGCA
This 74-nucleotide transfer RNA is filed under the name Candidatus Margulisiibacteriota bacterium. Its description in RNAcentral is "tRNA-Arg". It matches the Rfam family "tRNA". Rfam says of the family: Transfer RNA (tRNA) molecules are approximately 80 nucleotides in length. Their secondary structure includes four short double-helical elements and three loops (D, anti-codon, and T loops). Lineage: Bacteria; Bacillati; Candidatus Margulisiibacteriota. The record is from RNAcentral.